UCUGUAUAUCUGUGUUUGAGGUUUUGUGCUUCUCAAUGAAUAAAAAUUUGUAUGUGUGUCUUUGAGUCAAUUUGUUCAUGUGUUUGUAUGAUAUUUCUAAUAAUAUUUUUGCUUUUGAAAUCACAGAAGCUAUGGUCUUGCUGGACAUGGCAACGACAGGACAGCAGCUCUAUACAGUGGAUUGCAUAACCAGGGAGGAACGAGAGGCUACUUCUCAGACUCUUCAAUUGAUGUACCACAAGCGAUGAGAGACCCAGACAUAUGACAAUAGAGAAGCUACGGUCUUGCUGGACAUGGCAACGACAGGACAGCAGCUCUAUACAGUGGAUUGCAUAACCAGGGAGGAACAAGAGGUAGCAUGUGUUUCUUUGCAUUAGCUGUUUUAUUUUGUAUGCUAUUUUUGUGUUUUCUCUAAUUUUGAUUGUGUUCUCAGGCCUGUAUACCUCUUCACAGGCUACUUCUCAGACUCUUCAAUUGAUGUACCACAAGCGAUGAGAGACCCAGACAUAUGACAAUAGAGAAGCUACGGUCUUGCUGGACAUGGCAACGACAGGACAGCAGCUCUAUACAGUGGAUUGCAUAACCAGGGAGGAACAAGAGGUAGCAUGUGUUUCUUUGCAUUAGCUGUUUUAUUUUGUAUGCUAUUUUUGUGUUUUCUCUAAUUUUGAUUGUGUUCUCAGGCCUGUAUACCUCUUCACAGGCUACUUCUCAGACUCUUCAAUUGAUGUACCACAAGCGAUGAGAGACCCAGACAUAUGACAAUAGAGAAGCUACGGUCUUGCUGGACAUGGCAACGACAGGACAGCAGCUCUAUACAGUGGAUUGCAUAACCAGGGAGGAACAAGAGGUAGCAUGUGUUUCUUUGCAUUAGCUGUUUUAUUUUGUAUGCUAUUUUUGUGUUUUCUCUAAUUUUGAUUGUGUUCUCAGGCCUGUAUACCUCUUCACAGGCUACUUCUCAGACUCUUCAAUUGAUGUACCACAAGCGAUGAGAGACCCCAGACAUAUGACAAUAGAGAAGCUACGGUCUUGCUGGACAUGGCAACGACAGGACAGCAGCUCUAUACAGUGGAUUGCAUAACCAGGGAGGAACGAGAGGCUACUUCUCAGAGUCUAUCUUCAAUUGAUGUACCACAAGCGAUGAGAGACCCAGACAUAUGACAAUAGAGGUGAGCAUCAUUUGUUAGGAGGAUGUAUCGUCAAAGUAAGAAAAAAAUUAAAUGUGUUUGUAUCUUCACUAAAGACUAACCAUUCUAACCUUUAAACUAAUACCAUCUGUAUAUCUGUGUUUGAGGUUUUGUGCUUCUCAAUGAAUAAAAAUUUGUAUGUGUGUCUUUGAGUCAAUUUGUUCAUGUGUUUGUAUGGAUAUUUCUAAUAAUAUUUUUGCUUAACUCAUUGCUUACUGGGGCGAUUUUUGGAGCUCAACUCCCGCCGUACGCACGGAAAUUCACCAAUUUCAAAAAAUCAUAAAAAAA
Long non-coding RNA from Pomacea canaliculata, 1472 nucleotides. RefSeq lists it as uncharacterized. NCBI's taxonomy places the organism in Eukaryota, Metazoa, Mollusca, Gastropoda, Architaenioglossa, Ampullariidae. The record is from RefSeq and is a predicted model, not a curated record. The transcript has 7 exons.